GCCACCGUAGCUCAGCUCGGGAGAGCGCCCGGCUGAAGACCGGGCUGUCCGGGGUUCAAGUCCCCGCGGUGGCA
This is a transfer RNA of Candidatus Acidianus copahuensis, 74 nucleotides long. It matches the Rfam family "tRNA". From Rfam's summary of the family: Transfer RNA (tRNA) molecules are approximately 80 nucleotides in length. Their secondary structure includes four short double-helical elements and three loops (D, anti-codon, and T loops). The record is from Rfam. NCBI's taxonomy places the organism in Archaea, Thermoproteati, Thermoproteota, Thermoprotei, Sulfolobales, Sulfolobaceae.